CCGUUCUUAAAUGUAAAUAAUUCAAAAAGUCAUCAAAGGAGGUCUUGAUAGAAAAGAUAAAGACGUCGCGCGACGAAACGUCAUAGCGAGGCACAUGCCUAUAAACUAUGAGUCUCUUUUAGAAAACUCGCGUGUAAUAUGUAAAAAACCACUAUGUGAAUUGAAUCAUCUUAGUAACAUAGAAUAAAAUCAAACGAGAACUUGUAAGUAACGGUGAGUGAAAGCGAUUUAGCUAAGUGCUAAAAAUCCGAAGGAGGUUAAAUAGUCCUAUAUAGCACUAACCAACACAAUAAAGUAAUACAAUUAAUUUUGUACGAAAAUAGGAGUACCAUCUUCUAAGCUAAAACACUUUUCUGAUCGAUAGUGAACGAGUACCGUGAGGGAAAGAUUUGAAUUUGUUGAUUUAUAUUUAUUUGAGGCUGAUAUUUACAGCGACAAAGUGCCUUUUGCAUAAUGAGUCAGUAAGUUAAUAUGUGUAGCAAGCUUAAAUAAUAAAUUAAGGCCAUUUUAGUUACACAUAUUAGACCCGAAGCCAAGUGAUCUAGUCUCAAGCAAGUUGAAGAUACUUUAAAAAGUAUUGAAGGACUGAACCCACGUCUGUUGAAAAAUACGGGGAUGACUUGAGACUAGGGGUGAAAGUCCAAUCAAACUUGGUGAUAGCUGGUUUUCCGCGAAAACUAUCAAAGUAGUACGUUGCUUUUUAUAAAUGUGGGUAGAGCUACUUAUUAAAUUUAGAUUUUGCUAAAUUUUCUUAAACUUCAAACUAUAUUUUACUAAAAGCAGCAGACAGUCAUUGGGCGAUAAGGUCCUUUGUCAAAAGGGAAACAACCCUAAUCGAUAGCUAAGAUCUCAAAAUUAUAAAUUAGUGACAAAACGGAGAAUAAUUCGAAUAAACAGGGUAGGCUUAGAAGCAGCCAUCUAUUGGAGAAAGCGUUUUAGCUCAUUAUUUUUAUUUAUUCUGUCCGUUUAAAAUUCAAAGAGACUUAAAUUUAUAUAUCGAAGCUUCGGAUCAAGUUAAAUGUAACUUGAUGGUAGCGGAACGUCCUGUAGUUUGUUAUGUCAAUGUUAAAUUGCAUAUGUAAAAUCAGGAGUGCUAAUGCUGACAUGAGUAGCGUUAACCGUGUUGAAAAUAAAUCACGGUCGUCUAUUGUUCAAGGGUUUCCAGUAAAUUUUAAGUAACUGGAAUUAGUCGGCCCUUAAGAAAAAAGUGAAAACUGUAUUUGACAGGAAAAAUCCACGUGUAUGCAAAUACUUUUUGUGUUUGUGUAAAAAAGUAAUUCUCACUUUUUACCCAUUAAACUGGUAAAAAUUAAAACUACUUUUCAGGAAAAGUUACAUGUAGCUUGACCGUACCUAAAACCGACACAGGUGAAUUUAUUGAAAAAAUAAAGACGAAUGAGAUAACUAUAUUUAAGGAACUCGGCAAAUUUACUCCGUACGUUCGCAAAAAGGAGUACCUUUUUUAGGUUUCAAGAAUCAGGGGUAGCGACUGUUUACCAAAAAAAUCUUAAAACUUUGCAAAUUCGAAAGAAGACGUAUAAGGUUUGACGCCUGCCCAGUGCUUGAAAGUGAAAUUAAUAUGUUAAUGCAUAUGCUAUAAACUCAAGUAAACGGCGGUCUUAACUAUAAGGAUCCUCAGGUAGCGAAAUUCCUUGGCGGGUAAAUUCCGUCCUGCAUGAAUGGCGUCACGACUACCCCACUGUCUCUAAUAUAGCCUCAGCGAAAUUACAUUGUCUGUGAAAAUGCAGACACCCUACAACAAGACGGAAAGACCCUAUGAUUCUUUACUAUAAUUUUGCAUCGUAAUCGUUUUUUUCAUAGUACAGUAAAAGUAGAAACGUAAUAGCGUAAAUUUGAAAAACUACUCUAAGAGAAAAAAAUUACUUACUAAGAAGGAAAUAUGCAAAAAGGGUAGUUUACUUGGGACGAGGACCUCCUAAACUGUAACGGAGGUGCACAAAAGUGAAUUUUAACUAUCAAACACUGGUAGUAAAAAACGUAAUGGUAAAAAUUUGCUUGACGGUAAGAGUUACCACUCAAGCCGAGACGAAAGUCGGUCAUAAUGAUCCGGCAGUAACGCAUGGAAAUACUGUCGCUUAUCGGAAAAAAGAAACUCUAGGGAUAACAGAUUUAUCAUGGUUGAGAGUUCUUAUUGAUACCAUGGAUUAAUACCUCGAUGUCGGCCCUAUCUGUUGUGGGAAUAGAAAAGAAAAAAGUUUAUCUUUAGUACGAGAGGAUUAAGAUAUAUUAACCAAUAGUGCAUCGGUUGUAUUGUUUCAUGCAUAGCCGAGUAGCCACGUUAACAUUAUAUAAGUGCUGACAGCUUAAAAGCACAAAAAUAACUUUUAGCCUUUUCAGGAACAUUCUAAAAGAUUAUUAGAUAGAUCGGUUUGUUAUUAAAUACUUGUAAAAGUAAGUAAACAAAUACGAAAUGUUCAUUAUACUUUAUUAUUAUAUUUAAGAACGGGCCCACCCGUUCUUAAUUA
Molecule: ribosomal RNA, 2486 nt
Filed under: Bangia fuscopurpurea
Lineage: Eukaryota; Rhodophyta; Bangiophyceae; Bangiales; Bangiaceae
Description: LSU rRNA
Rfam family: Bacterial large subunit ribosomal RNA
Source: RNAcentral